GCUGGCGUCUGCGGCAGCUGUUUCCAAAUGUGGCCAGGCCUUCUCUUCCGGGAGAGUCUGGGCCUUCACUCCUCGAGGCCUGUGGUCUGCAGGUCUCCAGGACAGUAGGUCAGUUCUGCUGCAGACCGCCCUUAGGUCUGCAAAGGGGCAGCGCACGUGCUGGCAGCAGUUCGACCCUUAGGACCGGGUGCGGUGCGGCCACGGCCCUGUUUGCAGAGGCUUGACGGGCGGCAGGUACGAAGUUCAAAAAUAGUUAUGCAAAGCAGAAUUAAAAGUAACGCGACGAAUCCUGUUUGCAGGGUGAUUCUAAAGGAGGGGCCCAGACCGGAAGGCGGGCAGCUGAAUAGAUCAAGACCACGAAACGUCGGGGAGAUCGGUUGUUCCCUGACCGUGCAUUUCCACUUCUCCAGAGGCAUUUAUCCUGCAGCGGAUGGAACUCGCUAUCGCACAAACACCUUGCUCAUCGAGCAGAUCCUAAUCGAGGCUAUGUGGCCGUCCAAAAGUACUUUGGCCGCUGGGCUGCCGCUGCUGCGGCCGUGGAGCUGGCCGGUUCUCCCAAUGUCAGGGAGAGAUUUCUGACCGCGUGUUCAUCAGCACUGUUCCAGCCACGGAAGAAAGACACUCCCGCUGGAGGCCAACACUGAAUCAGGACCUGUACCCCGGCCCUACACACGACUUCUCGUACAGGUAACGUAUACCCUCGUGAAGGUCAGGGAGGUAGUGACCUCCUUGGAGUCUUCCAGCACAACAGGUAACACUCAAGGAGGGACCGGGCAGGUGUCAGGAACGUUCUCCCAAGACCACCGACGCACCCGGAGCCCUGGCUCCAGGGCACCAGUGACUUAUGGAGUAUGCCUAGAUGCUCAUCUUUGUUCCUGGGUUACUGAGAAGACAUGUGCCCCAGGCCCCAAGCAAAGGUGAGACUCCCUCUCCUCUCCUUUCUGAGUCCCCCAGACUCUUUUGUGUCUUUAAUAAACUGUGCUCUCACUUC
This is a long non-coding RNA of Neofelis nebulosa (Clouded leopard), 991 nucleotides long. RefSeq lists it as uncharacterized. The record is from RefSeq and is a predicted model, not a curated record. The transcript has 2 exons. NCBI's taxonomy places the organism in Eukaryota, Metazoa, Chordata, Mammalia, Carnivora, Felidae.